AUCCCGUGGCAAAACAUCCUGCAGUACAAAGGCUGCGCAUUACUCAUGUGCAGACGUCUCGUGUUCACACCGGUGGUCAAUCGUUCACAGCUCUGUUUUUUUGCCCUUUGAAAGCAUUUCAGUGUUAUAUGUGAGCAGCACUGAAAUGAAACUAAUGGGCGUUUACACUGGCAGAGUCUGUUUUAAUAACUUGGGUUCAAUGACCAGUUCAGUCACCAUUAGGAAUACCUGAGAAGCCUACCAUUGCUGAGGACAACACUCUCAGCUUCUGUUCCUGUUCUCACAUCUGUUUCCUGAAGGUAACAGCAGAACAAUAUUCUCUUGGCUUUUCAUAUCAGAUGCCACUGCUUUUCACAAGAGCUUUGCAUCUAGGCUAUCAGUGGAGGCUAGUGCUGCGAGGUGACUGCUGAUGCUGAAGGAUGAAGCUGAGGAGCCAGUGGCUCCCUGGGCAAACCCCCAGAAUCAUAUCCCAAGUUGGAAGGGACCCAUAAAGAUCAUCAAGUCCAACCUCCUUUCAUAGAAUCAUCGAAUGGCUCUCAAGUCCAACCUCCUUUCAUAGAAUCAUCGAAUGGCUCGGGUUGGAAGGGACCCCAAGUGUCACCAAGUUCCAACCCCCC
Centrocercus urophasianus (Greater sage-grouse) is the source of this 617-nucleotide long non-coding RNA. RefSeq lists it as uncharacterized. The record is from RefSeq and is a predicted model, not a curated record. Lineage: Eukaryota; Metazoa; Chordata; Aves; Galliformes; Phasianidae. The transcript is spliced from 3 exons.